This 518-nucleotide ribosomal RNA is filed under the name uncultured fungus. Its description in RNAcentral is "SSU rRNA". It matches the Rfam family "Eukaryotic small subunit ribosomal RNA", at positions 214 to 732 of the family's 1831-position model. Lineage: Eukaryota; Fungi. The record is from RNAcentral.
AUUAAAAACCAAUGCCCUUCGGGGCUCUCUGGUGAUUCAUAAUAACUUCUCGAAUCGCACGGCCUUGCGCCGGCGAUGGUUCAUUCAAAUUUCUGCCCUAUCAACUUUCGACGGCUGGGUCUUGGCCAGCCGUGGUGACAACGGGUAACGGAGGGUUAGGGCUCGACCCCGGAGAAGGAGCCUGAGAAACGGCUACUACAUCCAAGGAAGGCAGCAGGCGCGCAAAUUACCCAAUCCCGACACGGGGAGGUAGUGACAAUAAAUACUGAUACAGGGCUCUUUCGGGUCUUGUAAUUGGAAUGAGUACAAUUUAAAUCCCUUAACGAGGAACAAUUGGAGGGCAAGUCUGGUGCCAGCAGCCGCGGUAAUUCCAGCUCCAAUAGCGUAUAUUAAAGUUGUUGAGGUUAAAAAGCUCGUAGUUGAACCUUGGGCCUAGCCGGCCGGUCCGCCUCACCGCGUGCACUGGCUCGGCUGGGUCUUUCCUUCUGGAGAACCGCAUGCCCUUCGCUGGGUGUGCC